UAACGCGUGAGGAACCUGCCUCAAAGAGGGGGACAACAGUUGGAGACGACUGCUAAUACCGCAUAAGCCCACGGCUCGGCAUCGAGCAGAGGGAAAAGGAGCAAUCCGCUUUGAGAUGGCCUCGCGUCCGAUUAGCUAGUUGGUGAGGUAAUGGCCCACCAAGGCGACGAUCGGUAGCCGGACUGAGAGGUUGAACGGCCACAUUGGGACUGAGACACGGCCCAG
This 225-nucleotide ribosomal RNA is filed under the name uncultured bacterium. RNAcentral's name for it is "partial 16S ribosomal RNA". It matches the Rfam family "Bacterial small subunit ribosomal RNA", at positions 111 to 334 of the family's 1533-position model. The record is from RNAcentral.